GAUGAACGCUGGCGGCGUGCCUAAUACAUGCAAGUCGAGCGAACGGACGAGAAGCUUGCUUCUCUGAUGUUAGCGGCGGACGGGUGAGUAACACGUGGAUAACCUACCUAUAAGACUGGGAUAACUUCGGGAAACCGUAGCUAAUACCGGAUAAUAUUUUGAACCGCAUGGUUCAAAAGUGAAAGACGGUCUUGCUGUCACUUAUAGAUGGAUCCGCGCUGCAUUAGCUAGUUGGUAAGGUAACGGCUUACCAAGGCAACGAUGCCUAGCCGACCUGAGAGGGUGAUCGGCCACACUGGAACUGAGACACGGUCCAGACUCCUACGGGAGGCAGCAGUAGGGAAUCUUCCGCAAUGGGCGAAAGCCUGACGGAGCAACGCCGCGUGAGUGAUGAAGGUCUUCGGAUCGUAAAACUCUGUUAUUAGGGAAGAACAUAUGUGUAAGUAACUGUGCACAUCUUGACGGUACCUAAUCAGAAAGCCACGGCUAACUACGUG
RNAcentral lists this ribosomal RNA (497 nucleotides) under uncultured bacterium. Its description in RNAcentral is "partial 16S ribosomal RNA". It matches the Rfam family "Bacterial small subunit ribosomal RNA", at positions 28 to 507 of the family's 1533-position model. The record is from RNAcentral.